This 76-nucleotide transfer RNA is filed under the name Candidatus Methylomirabilota bacterium. RNAcentral's name for it is "candidate division NC10 bacterium (hot springs metagenome) tRNA-Phe". It matches the Rfam family "tRNA". From Rfam's summary of the family: Transfer RNA (tRNA) molecules are approximately 80 nucleotides in length. Lineage: Bacteria; Methylomirabilota (SeqCode). The record is from RNAcentral.
GCCGCCCUAGCUCAGUCGGUAGAGCACUGGACUGAAAAUCCAGGUGUCCGCAGUUCGAUUCUGCGGGGCGGCACCA